AUGCACGCUGGCGGCGUGCUUAACACCUGCAAGUCGAACGGAAAGGCCCAAGCUUGCUUGGGUACUCGAGUGGCGAACGGGUGAGUAACACGUGGGUGAUCUGCCCUGCACUUCGGGAUAAGCCUGGGAAACUGGGUCUAAUACCGGAUAGGACGAUGGUUUGGAUGCCAUUGUGGAAAGUUUUUUCGGUGUGGGAUGAGCUCGCGGCCUAUCAGCUUGUUGGUGGGGUAAUGGCCUACCAAGGCGUCGACGGGUAGCCGGCCUGAGAGGGUGUACGGCCACAUUGGGACUGAGAUACGGCCCAGACUCCUACGGGAGGCAGCAGUGGGGAAUAUUGCACAAUGGGCGCAAGCCUGAUGCAGCGACGCCGCGUGGGGGAUGACGGCCUUCGGGUUGUAAACUCCUUUCGCUAGGGACGAAGCGUUUUUGUGACGGUACCUGGAGAAGAAGCACCGGCUAACUACGU
RNAcentral lists this ribosomal RNA (466 nucleotides) under uncultured bacterium. RNAcentral's name for it is "partial 16S ribosomal RNA". It matches the Rfam family "Bacterial small subunit ribosomal RNA", at positions 29 to 506 of the family's 1533-position model. The record is from RNAcentral.